Molecule: ribosomal RNA, 429 nt
Filed under: Verrucomicrobiota bacterium
Lineage: Bacteria; Pseudomonadati; Verrucomicrobiota
Description: Verrucomicrobia bacterium partial 16S ribosomal RNA
Rfam family: Bacterial small subunit ribosomal RNA
Source: RNAcentral
UGGGGAAUCUUCCGCAAUGGGCGAAAGCCUGACGGAGCAACGCCGCGUGAGUGAAGACGGCCUUCGGGUUGUAUAACUCUGUGAUUCGGGACGAAAGAUAAGCAGACGAAUAAUCUGCAUAAGUGACGGUACCGAAAAAGCAAGCCCCGGCUAACUACGUGCCAGCAGCCGCGGUAAUACGUAGGUGGCAAGCGUCGUCCGGAAUUAUUGGGCGUAAAGCGCGCGCAGGCGGCUACUUAAGUCCAUCUUAAAAGUGCGGGGCUUAACCCCGUGAUGGGAUGGAAACUGAGAAGCUGGAGUGUCGGAGAGGAAGGUGGAAUUCCUAGUGUAGCGGGGAAAUGCGUAGAGAUUAGGAAGAACACCGGUGGCGGAGGCGACUUUCUGGACGACAUCUGACGCUUAGGCGCGAAAGCGUGGGGAGCAAACAGG